AGUGAACGCUGGCGGUAGGCCUAACACAUGCAAGUCGAACGGCAGCACAGUAAGAGCUUGCUCUUACGGGUGGCGAGUGGCGGACGGGUGAGGAAUACAUCGGAAUCUACUUUUUCGUGGGGGAUAACGUAGGGAAACUUACGCUAAUACCGCAUACGACCUACGGGUGAAAGCAGUGGAUCUUCGGACCUUGCGCGAUUGAAUGAGCCGAUGUCGGAUUAGCUAGUUGGCGGGGUAAAGGCCCACCAAGGCGACGAUCCGUAGCUGGUCUGAGAGGAUGAUCAGCCACACUGGAACUGAGACACAGUCCAGACUCCUACGGGAGGCAGCAGUGGGGAAUAUUGGACAAUGGGCGCAAGCCUGAUCCAGCCAUACCGCGUGGGUGAAGAAGGCCUUCGGGUUGUAAAGCCCUUUUGUUGGGAAAGAAAAGCAGCAGGUUAAUACCCCGCUGUUCUGACGGUACCCAAAGAAUAAGCACCGGCUAACUUCGUG
RNAcentral lists this ribosomal RNA (492 nucleotides) under uncultured bacterium. RNAcentral describes it as "partial 16S ribosomal RNA". It matches the Rfam family "Bacterial small subunit ribosomal RNA", at positions 29 to 507 of the family's 1533-position model. The record is from RNAcentral.